Molecule: ribosomal RNA, 1063 nt
Filed under: Preussia sp. (in: ascomycete fungi)
Lineage: Eukaryota; Fungi; Ascomycota; Dothideomycetes; Pleosporales; Sporormiaceae
Description: eukaryotic LSU rRNA
Rfam family: Eukaryotic large subunit ribosomal RNA (bases 464-1063)
Source: RNAcentral
GGAUCAUUAUCGUUGGGCUUCGGCCCAUUCGAGAUAACACCCUUGCCUUUUUGAGUACCUUUUCGUUUCCUCGGCAGGCUCGCCUGCCAACGGGGACCCCAAAAACGCUUUGUAAUACCUGUCAUUGUCUGAUAUAACAAGCAAAAAUUAAAACUUUCAACAACGGAUCUCUUGGUUCUGGCAUCGAUGAAGAACGCAGCGAAAUGCGAUAAGUAGUGUGAAUUGCAGAAUUCAGUGAAUCAUCGAAUCUUUGAACGCACAUUGCGCCCUUUGGUAUUCCUUAGGGCAUGCCUGUUCGAGCGUCAUUUAAACCUUCAAGCUCAGCUUGGUGAUGGGUGACUGUCCUCCCCUCGCGGGGGGACUCGCCUCAAAAACAUUGGCGGCCGGUACAUUGGCUUCGAGCGCAGCAGAAACGCGGUCUCGAGCCCGGUGGAUCGGCUCCCAUAAGCCUCUUCUUUUAUUUUGACCUCGGAUCAGGUAGGGAUACCCGCUGAACUUAAGCAUAUCAAUAAGCGGAGGAAAAGAAACCAACAGGGAUUGCCCUAGUAACGGCGAGUGAAGCGGCAACAGCUCAAAUUUGAAAUCUGGCCCUUUCAGGGUCCGAGUUGUAAUUUGUAGAGGGUGCUUUGGCGUUGGCUGUGGUCUAAGUUCCUUGGAACAGGACGUCGCAGAGGGUGAGAAUCCCGUAUGUGGCCGCCAGUCUUCGCCGUGUAAAGCCCCUUCGACGAGUCGAGUUGUUUGGGAAUGCAGCUCUAAAUGGGAGGUAAAUUUCUUCUAAAGCUAAAUAUUGGCCAGAGACCGAUAGCGCACAAGUAGAGUGAUCGAAAGAUGAAAAGCACUUUGGAAAGAGAGUCAAAAAGCACGUGAAAUUGUUGAAAGGGAAGCGCUUGCAGCCAGACUUGCCUGUAGUUGCUCAUCCGGGCUUUUGCCCGGUGCACUCUUCUAUGGGCAGGCCAGCAUCAGUCCCAGCGGUUGGAUAAAUGCCUGUUGAAUGUACCUCUCUUCGGGGAGGACUUAUAGCCUCGGGCGGCAUACAACCAGCCGGGAUUGAGGUCCGCGCAUC